Molecule: ribosomal RNA, 422 nt
Filed under: uncultured bacterium
Lineage: Bacteria
Description: partial 16S ribosomal RNA
Rfam family: Bacterial small subunit ribosomal RNA
Source: RNAcentral
AAUCUUGCAAAAGGGGCGAAAGCCUGAUGGAGCAACGCCGCGUGUGUGAAGAAGGUUUUCGGAUCGUAAAACUCUGUUGUAAGGGAAGAACAAGUACAGUAGUAACUGGCUGUACCUUGACGGUACCUUAUUAGAAAGCCACGGCUAUCUACGUGCUAGCAGCCGCGGUAAUACGUAGGUGGCAAGCGUUGUCCGGAAUUAUUGGGCGUAAAACGCGAGCAGGCGGUCCUUUAAGUCUGAUGUGAAAGCCCACGGCUCAACCGUGGAGGGUCAAUGGAAAAUGGGGGACUUGAGUGCAGAAGAGGAAAGUGGAAUUCCAAGUGUAGCGGUGAAAUGCGUAGAGAUUUGGAGGAACACCAGUGGCGAAGGCGACUUUAUGGUCUGUAACUGACGCUGAGGCGCGAAAGCGUGGGGAGCAAACA